AUGGAGUAUUUGACUGUGACCUUGCUCCAUACCUGUACAGUUCAGUUCCUAUGGAAAUACAAUUUGUUUCUACCACAGGAGGUCCAGAAUUUCAGUGUCUAUGUCAUAUAUACCAACAGAUGCGCAUACGCAGCCAUGCGUGUUGAUUUUCUUAGAAGAUCUGCAGUGCUACUUCUGGCCUGCUCAUCAAAAGGGUCAUCUCAUCACCUAUUGUGUUACUGUUCAUGUUGGAUUCUUUUCAGCCUUCAUGAUACUGUAAAUGCAACUGGAGUCACAGUGAGUGACCAAAGAACUGAAGAUACGACAAACUUCUAA
Molecule: ribosomal RNA, 315 nt
Filed under: Triticum aestivum (bread wheat)
Lineage: Eukaryota; Viridiplantae; Streptophyta; Magnoliopsida; Poales; Poaceae
Description: partial small subunit ribosomal RNA
Source: RNAcentral